GACGAACGCUGGCGGCACGCCUAACACAUGCAAGUCGAACGGAGCAAAUUAGUUUACUAAGGUGCUUAGUGGCGGACGGGUGAGUAACACGUGAGCAACCUGCCUUUCUGAGGGGGAUAACGUUUGGAAACGAACGCUAAUACCGCAUAACAUAUGUUUAUCGCAUGGUAGAUAUAUCAAAGGAGUAAUCCGCAGAAAGAUGGGCUCGCGUCUGAUUAGCUAGUUGGUGAGGUAAUGGCUCACCAAGGCGACGAUCAGUAGCCGGACUGAGAGGUUGUACGGCCACACUGGGACUGAGACACGGCCCAGACUCCUGCGGGAGGCAGCAGUGAGGAAUUUUGCGCAAUGGGGGAAACCCUGACGCAGCGACGCCGCGUGGAGGAUGAAGGCCUUCGGGUCGUAAACGUCCUGUCAGAGGUGAGAAUACCGCAAGGGUUGACGGUAACCUCAGAGGAAGCCCGGCUAACUACGUG
RNAcentral lists this ribosomal RNA (473 nucleotides) under uncultured bacterium. RNAcentral's name for it is "bacterial SSU rRNA". It matches the Rfam family "Bacterial small subunit ribosomal RNA", at positions 28 to 507 of the family's 1533-position model. The record is from RNAcentral.